ACGGGUGAGUAACACGUAUGCAAUCCACCUGUAACAGGGGGAUAACCCGGAGAAAUCCGGACUAAUACCCCAUAAUAUGGGCGCUCCGCAUGGAGAGUCCAUUAAAGAGAGCAAUCUUGGUUACAGACGAGCAUGCGCUCCAUUAGCCAGUUGGCGGGGUAACGGCCCACCAAGGCGACGAUGGAUAGGGGUUCUGAGAGGAAGGUCCCCCACAUUGGAACUGAGACACGGUCCAA
RNAcentral lists this ribosomal RNA (236 nucleotides) under uncultured bacterium. Its description in RNAcentral is "partial 16S ribosomal RNA". It matches the Rfam family "Bacterial small subunit ribosomal RNA", at positions 102 to 334 of the family's 1533-position model. The record is from RNAcentral.